GUCGUGGAUGGAUUUUCACUCACUUAAAAAAUAAUUAUGUGUAAAGCAUUUUCACUCACUUUGAAUAGAUCAGCUAGGCAGUGGUUCAGACAACUCGAGCCAGGGAACAUCAGCUCAUUUUCAGAUGGAAUCAUGGAUAUGCCACUGCCCCCAAGGUUCAGGUUGUGUAUAGUGGCCAAGGGGACUCUGCCGACCAUUUAAGAUCAUAUAGGCCGUGGAUGGAUUUUCACUCACUUAAAAAAUAAUUAUGUGUAAAGCAUUUUCACUCACUUUGAAUAGAUCAGCUAGGCAAUGGUUCAGACAACUUGAGGCAGGGAACAUCAGCUCAUUUUCAUAGCUCUCAAAUAAUUUGUGGCACAAUUCAUCAGAGUAAAGCGACAAAAAAAGCCAUCAACCCACUUGCUGUUAGUCACUCAGUGUGCCGAUGAAAGUAUCGUGGAUUAUGCUGUGCGUUUCAAUGCAGAGGCAAUACAAGUAGAAGGGUACAGUGAUAGAGUGGCAUUAACAACGAUUAUGGCAGGUCUUAAGCUAGGAAAAUUCCUUUGGUCACUUUAAAAAAACCCACCUGGUACCUACACCGAUCUACUCGUAAGGAAGAGAGAUAUUCAAGUGCGGAAGAACUCUAUUCUAUGAGGCACGGAUUUCAAUCGCCGCCAUCUGAAAGAUCACUAGACUUUAAAAGAGCACAGAGGAAGCAAAAUUUCACAGUUGACAAGCAGCGUGAACGUCACACCUUGCGAGACAGAACUUAACCAACAUUUCGUUCACAGUUCAACCACUUCACCCCACUGAACACCACCAGAGAGCAUAUCUUAAUGAAUAUAAAGAACAAACCAUUUCUCAAAUGGCCAAGCCCGAUCAUCACCCCACCUGAAAAAAGAGAUAGAUCGAGGUAUUGUUACUUCCACAAAGAUUAUGGGCACGACACCUUGGAAUGCUGGGCAUUUAAAGAGCAGAUUAAGGAAUUGAUUAGGCAAGGGAGAUUGAAAGAGUUCAUAGAAGACGAUAACAUAAAAAAGAAGCCUAGAAACACGAAGACAACAAAGAAAAAAGGGAAAGUUCCAAUCCAGAUCAAAACCAUAUUUGGAUGGUUGUCGACGAAGGGUAUAUCAAAAAAGGAAAUCAAACACCAAGCUAGAGAAGUGAUGUAUAGUUAUUACCCUCAGCAGAGCAUUUAGGUCGCGCCAUAUGAGAUUACCUUCGCCGAAGCAAAAGCAGUAGGGGUAAAAUUACCCCAAAAUGAUGCACUAGUGAUUACCAUGAUGGUGGCAAAUUACCAAGUACACUAAAUUCUGGUGGACAAUGGGAACUCCGCUCACAUACUUUACAUAGACAUUUGGGAGGACGAACAUUGGCAAGGACAAACUGAGACCGAUCAAAACACCCUUAAUGGGUUUUGGGGGAGAAAAUUAUUGUGCAAAUUUUAUUGAACUCAUAAGUGCACGAAUUUAUUGUAGAAUAGAUUAAUAUUGAUAAGUGUCG
RNAcentral lists this long non-coding RNA (1482 nucleotides) under Citrus maxima (pomelo). RNAcentral describes it as "long non-coding RNA (CMAX_LNC000827)". Lineage: Eukaryota; Viridiplantae; Streptophyta; Magnoliopsida; Sapindales; Rutaceae. The record is from RNAcentral.